Molecule: ribosomal RNA, 449 nt
Filed under: uncultured bacterium
Lineage: Bacteria
Description: bacterial SSU rRNA
Rfam family: Bacterial small subunit ribosomal RNA
Source: RNAcentral
GAUGAACGCUGGCGGCGUGCCUAACACAUGCAAGUCGAGCGAUCUUCUUCGGAAGAGAGCGGCGGACGGGUGAGUAACGCGUGGGUAACCUGCCCUGUACACACGGAUAACAUACCGAAAGGUAUGCUAAUACGAGAUAAUAUGCUUUUAUCGCAUGGUAGAAGUAUCAAAGCUCCGGCGGUACAGGAUGGACCCGCGUCUGAUUAGCUAGUUGGUGAGGUAACGGCUCACCAAGGCGACGAUCAGUAGCCGACCUGAGAGGGUGAUCGGCCACAUUGGAACUGAGACACGGUCCAAACUCCUACGGGAGGCAGCAGUGGGGAAUAUUGCACAAUGGGCGAAAGCCUGAUGCAGCAACGCCGCGUGAGCGAUGAAGGCCUUCGGGUCGUAAAGCUCUGUCCUCAAGGAAGAUAAUGACGGUACUUGAGGAGGAAGCCCCGGCUAACUAC